RNAcentral lists this ribosomal RNA (317 nucleotides) under uncultured bacterium. RNAcentral describes it as "bacterial SSU rRNA". It matches the Rfam family "Bacterial small subunit ribosomal RNA", at positions 28 to 334 of the family's 1533-position model. The record is from RNAcentral.
GAUGAACGCUGGCGGCGUGCCUAAUACAUGCAAGUCGAGCGAACAGAUAAGGAGCUUGCUCCUUUGAAGUUAGCGGCGGACGGGUGAGUAACACGUGGGUAACCUACCUAUAAGACUGGAAUAACUUCGGGAAACCGGAGCUAAUGCCGGAUAACAUUUGGAACCGCAUGGUUCUAAAGUAAAAGAUGGUUUUGCUAUCACUUAUAGAUGGACCCGCGCCGUAUUAGCUAGUUGGUAAGGUAACGGCUUACCAAGGCAACGAUCAGUAGCCGGCCUGAGAGGGUGACCGGCCACAUUGGGACUGAGACACGGCCCAA